RNAcentral lists this ribosomal RNA (301 nucleotides) under uncultured bacterium. RNAcentral describes it as "partial 16S ribosomal RNA". It matches the Rfam family "Bacterial small subunit ribosomal RNA", at positions 509 to 807 of the family's 1533-position model. The record is from RNAcentral.
CAGUCGCCGCGGUAACACAGAGGGUGCGAUCGUUAAUCGGAUUUACUGGGCGUAAAGCGUGCGUAGGCGGCUUCUUAAGUCGGAUGUGAAAUCCCUGAGCUUAACUUAGGAAUUGCAUUCGAUACUGGGAAGCUAGAGUAUGGGAGAGGAUGGUAGAAUUCCAGGUGUAGCGGUGAAAUGCGUAGAGAUCUGGAGGAAUACCGAUGGCGAAGGCAGCCAUCUGGCCUAAUACUGACGCUGAGGUACGAAAGCAUGGGGAGCAAACAGGAUUAGAUACCCCAGUAGUCCCUGUCUCUUAUAC